Molecule: ribosomal RNA, 166 nt
Filed under: Ledella ultima
Lineage: Eukaryota; Metazoa; Mollusca; Bivalvia; Nuculanida sp.; Nuculanidae
Description: partial 16S ribosomal RNA
Source: RNAcentral
UGACGAGAAGACCCCGUCAAACUUUAAUUAUCAUAUAUAAAAGUGAAAAUACAAAAUAUAAAUUAAUUUUAGUUGGGGCAACUGGGAGGGAUAAAAAUCUUUUAUUAAAUCAUUUAUAAUAAUAUUUAUAUUUAUGAUCCAAAUUAGUUAAUUUUGAAUUUAGAAU